CAAGACGUAGCUUUAACAAAAGCAUUCAGCUUACACCUGGAAGAUAUCCGCUCAAUCACGGAUCGUCUUGA
RNAcentral lists this transfer RNA (71 nucleotides) under Dasyornis broadbenti (rufous bristle-bird). RNAcentral describes it as "tRNA-Val". Lineage: Eukaryota; Metazoa; Chordata; Aves; Passeriformes; Dasyornithidae. The record is from RNAcentral.